UUUUUUUUUUCGCAGCUUCUUGUUUAAAUUGUCAUAAAUUAAAAAAAUAAAUAAAUAUAAAUACAUUUAGGUUUCUCCAUUAAACAAAUAAAGUAUCUCUCGCUCCUCUUUAUAUAGCAGACUUCGUCUCUUUCGUCUUUCGUCUCCUUCUGUUUGUGAUCCAUAUCUUGACCUCACCUUGAAAGCCCUAAAGUAUCAUCUCUCUCUGUUGGUGAAUUAAUCUGAAUCAUAAUCAUGGAUGAAGAGUACGAUGUGAUAGUGUUGGGAACUGGUCUCAAAGAAUGCAUCCUCAGUGGUCUUCUUUCUGUUGAUGGGCUCAAGGUCGUCUUCUGUUCUUCCUUAUUCUUCUUUUUUACACUUCGCAGUUUCUAUUUCACUACUUUAGGUUUUCAUAGAAUCAACUUAUUGACUACAAGGUAGACUUUUUCUGACAGUAUUGUCAUUUUUUUCUAUAUAGCAUACGUUGGUUGGCUUUUGAAUCCAACUGGGUAUCUGUGAUUUCUUUGCUUUCUCAUAGAUCUGGAUGUUUGAGUCUGAAUAUUUUAGUUGUGGGUUUGUUUGCUUUGUUGACUUCCUAUCUGUGGUUGGGAGAUCUAUGCAUUAUUUGUAUUUAUUGCGUUGUUCCAAUUGAACUGGACUAAGAAGCUCUCUCCGUGACUUGAAGUUGAAUUGCUGUAGUUCUAAUGUCCUUGCAUUAAAAACAAGUGUAAUUUUUAGUUCUCCCUGCCUUUUAGUUUUAGAGGUAGUUGAAAGGUUAUGAGGGAAAUGUCAUGAGUUUUUAGAUUAGUUUUUGAAUGGUGAUUUGUUUAAUGGAUUGUGGAGUUAGGCUCUCUGCGGGCUUCUUUAGCAGUUUACAUGGACCUGCAAAUGGAUCUUUUCGCUUGUAAUGCAAUUCGUUGUGUAUUUUCAUUAUACUGCCCAUGAUAUCUGGACUUAAUCCUCUUUACAAUUGAUCAAUUUUAGUCAUCAUCCCUAUAAUUUGUCAGGGCUUUACCAUUUUGCAUAUCCUAUACUGGUUUACUAAAAUUGAGCAGUUCUUGAGUGCGGGAUUUCCAUGAAUUAACACCUUUGAGAUUGGAUUUCAUUUUGAAACGAUAGUGUGGCUUUCAUGAAGAGUAACUAGUAAGGUGCUGUGGAUAUCAAUAUGAGGAAGAGAUUAUUGGGUUUGGUCCUUUGAUUGUGAUCACAACUUGGUGUUUUGUUUAUAUUUGCGUUUAUGGUUACAGCUUUUGACUCUUGCAAAUUUCUGUAAUUGAUUACAAUAUUUCUGGACAGCCUGUGGUACUCAGCUGUUGCUUAUCAAUAUUUCUGUAAGAAUUUGAUCCCAUGUCUCUUUUAGCCAUUUACUAUAUUGGGCUACAUGUAUGAUGGACAGCCAAUCUCUUUUUUUUGUUGAACAAAUUCUGUUGUUAAUCUAAAGUAGAAGAAAUGUGUUAGAUGCUUUGGAUGUUGUUUUUGACACUUUUUCUUCUUCUAGUUGUUUUAGAAUAUAAAAGAUAGUUCUGAAGUAAAGGUUUUAACUUUUUUGUGAUUUAUAACAACAUUGUGUUUUAUUUGGAUCAUUUUGGCUUUUCUACUCACUUGUACAAGUACACAUUUUAUGCUCAUAUAAUUGCUGUUUUCCUUUAGUACUGCACUAAAAUGAUAGCAUGCUUGAUUGUGAGCCAGGUUCU
RNAcentral lists this unclassified non-coding RNA (1673 nucleotides) under Hevea brasiliensis (rubber tree). Lineage: Eukaryota; Viridiplantae; Streptophyta; Magnoliopsida; Malpighiales; Euphorbiaceae. The record is from RNAcentral.